RNAcentral lists this ribosomal RNA (372 nucleotides) under uncultured organism. RNAcentral describes it as "partial 16S ribosomal RNA". It matches the Rfam family "Bacterial small subunit ribosomal RNA", at positions 527 to 896 of the family's 1533-position model. The record is from RNAcentral.
GUAGGUGGCAAGCGUUGUCCGGAAUUAUUGGGCGUAAAGCGCGCGCAGGCGGUUCUUUAAGUCUGAUGUGAAAGCCCACGGCUCAACCGUGGAGGGUCAUUGGAAACUGGAGGACUUGAGUACAGAAGAGGAAAGCGGAAUUCCACGUGUAGCGGUGAAAUGCGUAGAGAUGUGGAGGAACACCAGUGGCGAAGGCGGCUUUCUGGUCUGUAACUGACGCUGAGGCGCGAAAGCGUGGGGAGCAAACAGGGAUUAGAUACCCUGGUAGUCCACGCCGUAAACGAUGAGUGCUAAGUGUUAGGGGGUUUCCGCCCCCUUAGUGCUGCAGCUAACGCAUUAAGCACUCCGCCUGGGGAUACGGCCGCAAGGCUG